Medicago truncatula (barrel medic) is the source of this 1745-nucleotide long non-coding RNA. RefSeq lists it as uncharacterized. The transcript has 2 exons. Lineage: Eukaryota; Viridiplantae; Streptophyta; Magnoliopsida; Fabales; Fabaceae. The record is from RefSeq and is a predicted model, not a curated record.
AGCACCCUGCAUAAAAUUAUGCCAAAACCAUUUUGCUGUGGAAAUGGUUUAUGUGAGUUGUACUCCAAAACCAUUUCUGGAUUUAUGCAGGGUGCAUAAGGAUUUCCUUAUGCACCAUAACCGCACCCGUGGUUAGGUUGUAUGGAAUGUUAAAACCUUUUGGAGCUAAAUCUACCUAUAUCAGUAGCAGAAAUCUUAGAUUAUUUGGGAGAAUGCAUGUUUGUAAAGAUUUGACAAUGUAGGAAGAUGACCCCAAUAUAAAUAUCUAGGGUCUUGAAAGAUAAUUAAGAUAUAAGAUACAAGAAUAUAAGUAUAUAAUUGCUUAAACCGGGUACAUUCUGCUUUCCAAGGAGAAGGUUUUAUGAUUAAUUAAGUAGUUAUUUCAGUUUGAAUAUAGGAAAUCAUGUUUGGAUGUUGCUCAUCGCUCAAUGGGUUGGCAGGAUCACGACCUGAUUAGUGGUAUUUAGUAUUUACUGACAUGAUUCACCAUAGUUUGAACUGGCUUGGCUUUGUUAUUACUAGGAGGAUAUGCAUGAAGUGUAACAACGAUAUCCUUGGCGUCACCUAAAAUUGAUCUUGAAAGUCAGCACACAACGAUCUUUCUUAGGUUUCCUAUGCUUAGAAGCAUUAUUGUCUUCGCGCAUGUUUGAUAUCAUGGUGGAUUUGUCAGAAUCACGGGGAGUCACCAACUCACCAUAAUUUUGUAAAAGCUAAGUUAUGUUUUUGAAAAUCACCGUAGCUUGCCAUGACUCUGACAAACUCAUUGUAAUACCAAACUUUAUAAGCAAUGUAGGCAUCAAUGGCAAAAGUAUUGCUGGUGACCUUCCCUUUGAGUUUCUUCAUGAAGCGCAAAUGUGAAAACCCUGUUAAUGAAUGAUGGGUGCCAUUUGAUAAAAUUGGCCACUGAUUUGGUUUUAAGAAUUAUUCAAGGCAAUAGUAAGGACGUAUUUGUUGAGGAAUCCGGAGAGUGACAACAGACAAAUAGUAAUGAACUAGGACCACCGGGAUACUUGGACACCACCUCUCCACUCCAAAACUUUAAGGACUCAUUCAUGCCCAUUGUAAGGACAUGCUCGUUCUGCAGAAAUGCAAUCUGAAUCUGAUUAUGUUCACUACCACAAUCUUAGUUAAGCAUCGGACAAAUUCACCAAGUCCUUAGAUGCUCUUAACCUUGGUGAAAUAGUUAUUUUACAAAGACAGAUCUGUGUCGUGCAACCAAUCAGAUCCUUGCUAAACUAGAAAAUGCAAGGACAUUUUCUUCUACUAAAGUCGUUCUUGGAGAUCUUGCCAAAACCAGUGUAUGCAGAUGUGAGAUGACAAAAAAUUACACUUGGUAUGACAUAAUUUGAUCCAUGUAACCGACCCCAUUUAAUGAGAUAAGACUUGUUUGUUGUUGUUGUUGAUGUAUGAUUUCCCUUUAAAUUGACUCUGAAAGCGAAGAUGCAAGAGUACUGCUAUUGUAGGAUCAAGAUUCGGUGAGAUUGUGUCGCGUUAAGUGACAUGUUCGGACACGAGUCUUAGUACACGUAGGCAAAAGUCAGGGAAUAAAUUAAUAUGAAGCUAGAUUUUUAAUUGAAAAACUCCAACAUCCAGCAAGUAAAGAAACUAAAUCACUAAAUGGUAUCUUGGUUGUUGCUACAAACCAGAAAAAUACUAUAGUGGUAUUACUGUAUUAGUGUUUAGUAUGUUGUUGUAUCAUAUAAUUUCAUCACAAGCCAGAAUAAAGUAUAAUUCCAAUUUUUACA